This 253-nucleotide ribosomal RNA is filed under the name uncultured bacterium. RNAcentral's name for it is "partial 16S ribosomal RNA". It matches the Rfam family "Bacterial small subunit ribosomal RNA", at positions 524 to 776 of the family's 1533-position model. The record is from RNAcentral.
UACGUAGGGGGCUAGCGUUGUCCGGAAUCAUUGGGCGUAAAGAGCUCGUAGGCGGCUUGUCGCGUCGUCCGUGAAAACUUGGGGCUCAACCCCAAGCUUGCGGUCGAUACGGGCAGGCUAGAGUUCGGUAGGGGAGACUGGAAUUCCUGGUGUAGCGGUGAAAUGCGCAGAUAUCAGGAGGAACACCGGUGGCGAAGGCGGGUCGCUGGGCCGAUACUGACGCUGAGGAGCGAAAGCGUGGGGAGCGAACAGG